UUCUUCAUGCUUCCACCCUUUGGCCGGCCAAAAAGGGAGAGACCUUUUCUAUUUUUUUUCUUCUUAUCAUGUUCAACACUAGAACUUUCUCUUUCCUUUGUCAUUAAGUAUUUUCUUCUUUCUUUCUUUCACCCACCGUCACUUGCACCUUGUGAAGAAAUUCUUCCUCCCAAACCGUGGCUUCACCAUAAUCAGCCAAACCUCAAGCUCUUCUCUCCAUUUCUUCCCUGUUUCUUCCCUUUAUCCUUCCUCUACAUGAAGUUCUUUCCUUUUCCUUCCCCAUAGCUGAAAUUAUGGUGGAUUGGUGAGUUGAUUCAAGAGUUCUAAGCUAAGGAAAUUUGAGUGUGAGAACCAGUGUCUUGGAGUGGGGAAAAUCCAGCAAAAAUCAGGAACUAUAUACUUGAAUUGGUAGCAAAUUAGCAUCCCAAAAUUUUAAGAUAAGUAAUCAGUUUUAAGAUUUUGUUCAUCAUCUUGAAGUUGGCUACAAUAUAGGUAAUGGCAUCUCUAGACUUCCACUCAAAGUUGCUUC
Molecule: long non-coding RNA, 529 nt
Organism: Theobroma umbraticum
Lineage: Eukaryota; Viridiplantae; Streptophyta; Magnoliopsida; Malvales; Malvaceae
Source: RefSeq, a predicted model, not a curated record